GUGGGGAAUAUUGGACAAUGGGCGCAAGCCUGAUCCAGCCAUGCCGCGUGAGUGAUGAAGGCCCUAGGGUUGUAAAGCUCUUUCACCGGAGAAGAUAAUGACGGUAUCCGGAGAAGAAGCCCCGGCUAACUUCGUGCCAGCAGCCGCGGUAAUACGAAGGGGGCUAGCGUUGUUCGGAAUUACUGGGCGUAAAGCGCACGUAGGCGGACAUUUAAGUCAGGGGUGAAAUCCCGGGGCUCAACCCCGGAACUGCCUUUGAUACUGGGUGUCUGGAGUAUGGAAGAGGUAAGUGGAAUUCCGAGUGUAGAGGUGAAAUUCGUAGAUAUUCGGAGGAACACCAGUGGCGAAGGCGGCUUACUGGUCCAUUACUGACGCUGAGGUGCGAAAGCGUGGGGAGCAAACAGGAUUAGAAACCCCUGUAGUCC
Molecule: ribosomal RNA, 425 nt
Filed under: uncultured bacterium
Lineage: Bacteria
Description: bacterial SSU rRNA
Rfam family: Bacterial small subunit ribosomal RNA
Source: RNAcentral